UACGGGGGGAGCAAGCGUUGUUCGGAUUUACUGGGCGUAAAGGGCGCGUAGGCGGCGUAACAAGUCACUUGUGAAAUCUCCGGGCUUAACCCGGAGCGGCCAAGUGAUACUGUUGUGCUAGAGUGCGGAAGGGGCUACUGGAAUUCUCGGUGUAGCGGUGAAAUGCGCAGAUAUCAGGAAGAACACCUAUGGCGAAGGCAGCACUCUGGGACGGUACUGACGCUGAGACGCGAAAGCGUGGGGAGCGAACAGG
This 253-nucleotide ribosomal RNA is filed under the name uncultured bacterium. RNAcentral's name for it is "partial 16S ribosomal RNA". It matches the Rfam family "Bacterial small subunit ribosomal RNA", at positions 524 to 776 of the family's 1533-position model. The record is from RNAcentral.